This 315-nucleotide long non-coding RNA is filed under the name Glycine max (soybean). RNAcentral describes it as "long non-coding RNA (GMAX_LNC002135)". Lineage: Eukaryota; Viridiplantae; Streptophyta; Magnoliopsida; Fabales; Fabaceae. The record is from RNAcentral.
UUGUGUUUGGGUUGAUUGUCAUUUUGUUCAAGUAAGCCAUCACAUGAUGAGUUCCAUGCUAGAAAUGGAGAGACUUAGUUCGUGAUAGGGAUAUGCUCUGAUAAGUGUGACAUUGGGGCAUAAGAUUAUACUUCGCAUGUUAUAAUUUUCAUGAAUAAUAUGAUUACGUUAUAAUUUCUAUUUUAGUUUUCUUUUAUUCAGGAUGGAAGGUCUUGUUUUGAGUCAGGAUAACUUUUUUUUUAUUUAAAAAUUCUACUAUGUUUUCACUAAGUGGAUGUGAACUUUUUUAUCCUUUUGAACUAAUCUAAAGUCAAU